ACAGCAGUAGCCGCGGGAAUACGAAGGGGGCUAGCGUUGCUCGGAAUGACUGGGCGUAAAGGGCGCGUAGGCGGAUUGUUUAGUUAGGCGUGAAAUUCCUGGGCUUAACCUGGGGACUGCGCUUAAUACAGGCAGUCUAGAGUGAGGAAGAGGGUUGUGGAAUUCCCAGUGUAGAGGUGAAAUUCGUAGAUAUUGGGAAGAACACCGGUGGCGAAGGCGGCAACCUGGUCCUUGACUGACGCUGAGGCGCGAAAGCGUGGGGGGCAAACAGGAUUAGAUACCCGGGUAGUCCCUGUCUCUUAUAC
This 305-nucleotide ribosomal RNA is filed under the name uncultured bacterium. RNAcentral describes it as "partial 16S ribosomal RNA". It matches the Rfam family "Bacterial small subunit ribosomal RNA", at positions 508 to 807 of the family's 1533-position model. The record is from RNAcentral.